Long non-coding RNA from Bombyx mori (domestic silkworm), 1096 nucleotides. RefSeq lists it as uncharacterized. The record is from RefSeq and is a predicted model, not a curated record. Lineage: Eukaryota; Metazoa; Arthropoda; Insecta; Lepidoptera; Bombycidae. The transcript is spliced from 3 exons.
AAGCAUAAAUUUAUGCAUUCUACCGUGAAUGCUCGCGCGCUGUUCAUGAAAUUUAAAAACAGAUGAAUAACGUUUUUAGGCAAAUAUGUUCAAGGUUAGACAAAAUCUCGCAUUCAAAUAAUGAUUCUAUAUUUAUUUGUUUGCUUUUAUUCAGUGUACUGAAGAUUUUUGUUAAAUUGUAAAGUUGUGCUCAAAUGUAUAUUGUAUCAAUAUUUAUGUCUCACUGGACUAUGUUGGUGUCUCGAUACUUACAGGGAGACAUUGAAGGUGGGGAAAUACAGAUCGACUGCUUCCUGUUAGGGUCGCGCCGCUCUGCGCCUACAAAUAGCAAGCAAAGCGUUGACAGCUUCCUUAAGCUGUCAACGCUUUGCCACCUUUGGUAUGCCACUUAUCAUAAAACCAUACUUUCGUGCAUUAAAAUUUUUAUUCUAAUCAAAAUCACUACAUAGUAUAAAACAAAGUCGCUUUCUCUGUCGCUAUAUCUGUCUGUCCCAAUGUAUGCUUAAAUCUUUAAAACUACGCAACGGAUUUGGAUGCGGUUUUUUUAAAUAGAUAGAGUGAUUGAAGAGGAAGGUUUCUAUGUAUAAUAACAUCCAUUAAAUAGUGGAGAAAUCAAUAAUAAAUUACAGUUUCCGAAGCGAAGCGAGGGCGGGUCACUAGUAUUAAUUAUAUUAUUACAAUUUGCUUGAUUUAGAUUUAUUGAUGAACAAAAGUGGCUCUUAAAAGGUUAGAAUUACAAGAAUUUUUUUAAAUAUCUUGCUAUUUUUUGUUUUAAAAGCGACAACUAAAAGCAAUAAACCUAGUGGGGAUAAAAUGUAGGCAAAAAAAAAACCGGGCCGGCGUUUUUUUAGUAGAUCAACGUCCAAGAGUCUCGCAAACAAACUAAAAAUGUUGGCGAGGUCAUAAGUAUAAGCUUUUAAUUUUGUAAGGUACUUGAGGAAAAAUAUAUACUCUGUUGAUUAUACAUUUUAAAAGUGUAUGUUUUAUUUUGGUUAAUCUGAGUAUACAUGAAGUAGAGUUUUGACGAGGUUAUAGAUAAGUAUUCCAAACGUCGGAAAUAAAAGUGUUACAAUAAAAAUGUGAGAUUAAACCGUAA